UCUCAAAUCAGGUAGGACUACCCGCUGAACUUAAGCAUAUCAAUAAGCGGAGGAAAAGAAACUAACAAGGAUUCCCCUAGUAACGGCGAGUGAAGCGGGAAGAGCUCAAAUUUAAAAUCUGGCGGUGUAUUCCGUCCGAGUUGUAGUCUAGAGAAGCAUCAUCCGCGCUGGACCAUGUACAAGUCUCUUGGAACAGAGCGUCACAGAGGGUGAGAAUCCCGUCCUUGACAUGGACUCCCAGUGCUUUGUGUUGUGCUCUCGACGAGUCGAGUUGUUUGGGAAUGCAGCUCAAAAUGGGUGGUAAAUUCCAUCUAAAGCUAAAUAUUGGCGAGAGACCGAUAGCGAACAAGUACCGUGAGGGAAAGAUGAAAAGCACUUUGGAGAGAGAGUUAAACAGUACGUGAAAUUGUUGAAAUGGAAACGCUAGAAGUCAGUCACGUCGGCUUGGGAUCAGCCUUGCAACUGCGAGGUGCACUCCCUGGUCGACGGGUCAGCACCAGUUUCGACCGCUGGAGAAAGGUCGGGGGAAUGUGGCAUCCUCGGACGUGUUUAUAGCCCUCGAUUGCAUGCAUCGGUUGGGAUUGAGGAACUCAGCGCGCCGCAAGGCCGGGUUUUCGAACCACGUCCGCGCUCUGGAUGCUGGC
RNAcentral lists this ribosomal RNA (644 nucleotides) under uncultured Basidiomycota. Its description in RNAcentral is "LSU rRNA". It matches the Rfam family "Eukaryotic large subunit ribosomal RNA", at positions 1 to 630 of the family's 3401-position model. The record is from RNAcentral. Lineage: Eukaryota; Fungi; Basidiomycota.